This 1329-nucleotide ribosomal RNA is filed under the name Triticum aestivum (bread wheat). RNAcentral describes it as "partial small subunit ribosomal RNA". The record is from RNAcentral. Lineage: Eukaryota; Viridiplantae; Streptophyta; Magnoliopsida; Poales; Poaceae.
AUGCUCCAGCGGCCCAGGAUUCAUCUGUCGACGCAUAUAUCAUAUCCAUCCAUACAUCGGGGCUCUGUCCUGUCCUACGUCUACGUGCGCGCGUGCUUGAUCGAGGUGCUUGAUCCACCGAUCGCUGCCCAGCACAGGGUUGGCUGGCGGGAGGGGGCAACCGACCGAUCGAUCGUUCCAUCUGCAAUGACGACGGCGCGGCAGUGGUGGAGGCGCGCCGCCGCGGCGGCCAAGGACAAGAAGAGCCUGUGCCUGACGCGCGCCGCGGGGGCGCUGCGCUCGCCGGCCAGGGUCAGGGGCGGCGCCGCGGAGCUGGACGCGGCGGUCAUCCGCGCCACCAGCCACGACGACCGCUUCGUGGACCGCGGCGCCGCGGCGCGGGUGCUGGACCUCGCGCGCGCCUCCUCGCCGUCGCCGCUCGUGUGGGCGCUCGCGCGCCGGGCGGGGCGGACGCGCUGCUGGGCCGUGGCGCUCAAGGCGCUCAUGCUCGCGCACCGCCUGCUCCUGCUCGCGCAGCCCCGCGCCGGCGGCCGCGUGCCCUUCGACCUCGCCGACUUCCGGGACCGCUCCUCGGCCGGCCUCUCCGCCCUCGUGCGCGCCUACUUCCGCUUCCUCGACGCCCGCUCCCUCUUCGCCGCCGAGGAAGACGACGGCGCCGGCGCCAACGGCGACCAGGACGAGGAGACGCGCCUGCUGGACCGCCUGUCCAGGCGCCAGCACCUGCUCGACCUGCUCAUACAGAUCCGCCCCUACGGGGACGGCAUGGAGCGGCAGAGCCUCGUCCUCGACGCCAUGGAAUGCGCCGUCGUCGAGAUCUUCGACGUGUACGGCCAGGUGCGCGCCGGCAUCGCCGAGUACCUCGUCGCCGCCCUCGGGGGCUCGGCGCCGACCACGGCGAUGCCUCGGCCGCGGCCGGGAGAGACCGUGGCCACGGCGAGGCGGCGCAGGGCCAUGCAGGGAGUGCGGGUGCUGCGGAAGGAGGCUGAGCAGAGCGCCCUGGUGUCGUCCUACUUCGAGCUCUGCCGUGCCCUCGGCGUGCUCAGCGCCGCCGAGUUCCCGGCCCUGGAGCGCGUCCCGGACCACGACAUCAGGGACCUCGAGAAGCUCAUCAUGGCCCACGUCGAAGACGGCGGCUGCAUGGUGGAGCAGGACAACGAAGCGAAGGCGCUGGCGGUCCCCAUGGAGGACGCCGGCGUGGCGUCGACGGCGGUGGCCACGAAAGAGUGGAUGGUGUUCGACGACGAUGCGGGUACCGGCGUUAGGCAGGGGCAUUUCGGUGAUUACGUCAACCCGUUCCUAACCAACUUGACGGAGUUAGGCGACACGUGA